Oncorhynchus masou masou (cherry salmon) is the source of this 1540-nucleotide long non-coding RNA. RefSeq lists it as uncharacterized. The record is from RefSeq and is a predicted model, not a curated record. Lineage: Eukaryota; Metazoa; Chordata; Actinopteri; Salmoniformes; Salmonidae. The transcript has 3 exons.
UCAAAAUAAAAAUUAGGUAUAUUCUCGUAAAGUCAAGUGAGCCAUGACAUAUGAGCUCUUAUUGUGAGCACACAGGACGGUGGCAUCUUUCUAAGGUUUUUUUAUUUUCCCAGCAAUCAGUACAACCAAGUCAUCGUUAUAAGGCAUCGCCCUCUUUUGCCCACCCCCAGCACCAGGUGUGGCCACUAGCCUAUAUGAAGGCCCAAAAUUGUGUGUUCCUUUCUGCUCUGACAAUGGCAUGCCCAUUCGUGCGAGAUGUGGUGGAUGAAGAAGCACUUGUGCUGAGGAGAGCCUUCAGGCGAGAAAGGGUCUUCAGGGACCGGUUGGACCCACUGGCCUUCCCUGAUGACCAUCUAUAUGAAAGAUACAGGUUUUCUGCAGAUGGCAUCAGGUAUCUAUGCAGACUACUGGGUCCCAGGAUUAAGCACCGCACUGCACGGAGCCAUGCACUGAGUGUGGAGCAAAUGGUUUGUGUGGCCUUGCGCUUUUUUGCUAGUGGAGCCUUCCUGUACUCAGAACAGCUGAACAAGGCCACAAUUUGCCGCACAAUAAGGAGUGUGUGUCUGGCUAUCAAAGCAUUAGCAGAUGUCUUCAUCUCCUUCCCUGGCCACAGAAGACUCUGUGACAUCAAAGAGGAGUUCUAUAGGAUUGCAGAUGGUCUGCAAUGCUGACUGUGUGAUCAGCAAUGUUGUGGCAAAAUGGCCUGGCUCAGUCCAUGACUCCAGAAUCUUUCGGGCCUCUGAAAUCUAUCAGUGCCUAUCACAAGGUGAAUUCUCUGGUGUGUUGCUGGGAGACAGGGGUAUGGCUGCCAGCCUUUUCUCCUGACACCUUUCACAGACCCCCAGGAAGCACAGCAGGCCUACAACCAUGCCCAUGCCAGGACCAGGGCCAGAGUUGAAAUGACCUUUGGCCUCCUGAAGGCACGCUUUCACUGCCUUCACAAAUUAAGGGUCAGCCCUGUUAGGGCAUGUGAUAUUGCUGUGGCUUGUGCUGUCCUCCACAAUGUGGCCUGCCUGAGGAAGGAGAGGGCCCCCAGAGUGCCACCAGCCAUGGACUGGGACAAUCCGGCAAUCUUCCCUGAUGACGACAGUGAUCGGCUGCUGAGGGACCAAUAUGUGUUGAAUUAUUUUAGUUAGUAUUUGUGCUUUCAAUUUUGGUUAAAUAUGUCCUGCGGUGGCAGAGGAAUUUGUUUUUUUUUGGGUUCGUUUUUUGACAAAUUUGGCCUCUUAUGAUGUUUGUGCGGUAUACUGUGUGUAAUACAAGGCUGCAGGGAGGCUACUGCAUCCAUUCAUUUGUCUGUUCAGUUGAUGUGUAUGGAUUUGUCCUGCAUUUAUUUUAGUGUGCAGACAUGCAGGGUGUGUUAUAUACAGACCUUUGAAUGUGUAUGUAUCAUUUUGUAUAAUAUGCUUGGAUUCUGUGCUUUCCAUCUUGUAGAGUCACUGUGACUUCAGUUUCGAAAGGAGCUGAUGGUUUACCUGCUUUGUUUUGUCCUUAUUCAAUAAAGGAACAUAAUGUUACACAUUGUGUUUUUAUAUUCAUA